CGCCGGUCGUGAGAAAGUCCGCGCACGCCAGCGUCUGGGUCCAGGACGCAGCGCCAGCGAGGCUUCACGCACCUCGCCGAAUCCCGUCCGCUGCUGGCGCCCCUUCCUCCCUCUCUCCCUCCUCCAGGAGGCGCUGGUAGCAAGGAAGCAAGAGGUGAGAACUUAAACCGAGGACUUGUAAAGGACCCAUAGCAGAGAGCGGUUUUCACCCUGAGAUUGAGUGUAUAUCAUAUCCCUCUUCAUUCCUCCAUCUGGCCUUCCUCUGCUGACCUUGUAGAAGACCAUGGACUUCUGCUUGGAUAAAAAGACUACUACUAAUAUUUAUCAUUAUUGAGCACUAGUUCUGGACCAGGCACAUUCAUCCAUUUUUAUAUACCUUUCUCUGUUCAUUCCACAUAACAUUUCCCUUUUCUUUAUUUACACUCAUAUUUAGCUUUAUGUAACUUAACACUUGAUUAUAAAUUGCAGAUAUAACAUAGUUUAUAACAAAGAGUGGUAUGGUAAGGAUAGUUUGACUGAAAGGAAGAUUAGAAAAAUGUAACUAAAGGGAAAUGGUACUGUAUAUGCUGUAUUUAGGAUUUGAUAUCAUGUCCUCAAAGUUUAAUAUUCAGGUAGUUUACAAUAGAAAAACAAUUACCUUGCUCAUCCCCAAUAAUUAAUCAUGUGGUUGCAAAAUAUGUUUCUCCAAGAAUGAUGAAGUAAUACAUGAAGUAACGCAUAACUGCUUUUGAAUUUCAAUUUAAUUGAGUAUUAAUUAAA
Molecule: long non-coding RNA, 759 nt
Organism: Manis pentadactyla (Chinese pangolin)
Lineage: Eukaryota; Metazoa; Chordata; Mammalia; Pholidota; Manidae
Exons: 3
Source: RefSeq, a predicted model, not a curated record